GUCUGCAAACCGGAAGUGCUGCACGGUCGCUUGCGAUCGAGGAAGCUGAA
This 50-nucleotide small RNA is filed under the name Sinorhizobium meliloti 2011. RNAcentral describes it as "putative ncRNA". Lineage: Bacteria; Pseudomonadati; Pseudomonadota; Alphaproteobacteria; Hyphomicrobiales; Rhizobiaceae. The record is from RNAcentral.